UCCUAUCAGGGUUUGCAGAAUGUUCUUUCUAGGAGAGUUUUAUGAACAACAGCAUCAGGAGAUAUUACAAUUGAGCUGCCAAUCAUGGAUCAUCCUAUACUGUCUCAGUUUGCUUUGGGGAAUUGUGUUUACUGGCAAAUACUAAAAGAGAGCCAUGUCUAUCUUGGCUCUUCAACAUAUUAAGUUCUUUGUCCUUUUAAUGUAAGAAUACUUUCUUCAUGAAAUAUGCCUUGUGGCAUACCAGUAGAAAUAGUCUGUUUAUUAACUCAGUGGUUUUUGAUGAACAAUGAGUAUCACAUUAAAUGCCAGUAUAGAUAAAUCAAAAUUUAUGUGUGCUCAGAAAAAAUGGUCUAUGAAAGGAAAAGGUCACUCUGAAGAAAACUUAUUAUUUGGCUGCAAUAGUUAUGGGUGAAAUGGCUUUGCAUGGGUAAAUUAAUGAUUUGGCUCCAACAGGUAAUGAUUGGGAAGAAAGCACACCUGUCAGGAGCAGAGCGUGCAUUCAUAAGGAAACAAUUGAAGAAACAUUGUAAGGCUGAGAGUCUGUAGAAGUUGUACAAAAGGUUGUAAUAAAACCCCUGAAAGUUUGAUUUAAUAGGGGAAACAAAAAGGUUUCUCUGUGAUUUUGUGUGGUUUUGCAGGACUUUGGCAGCAGUGCAGUGAACUGGUUAGGUGCAUAAAUAAAAAAUGGGCAAGAAGAUAAAGUAUGUCUUUAGUAGGACAUUUACCUCCUACUUUGUCCAUAGUCACACUGUGCCUGGAUUGCCAAAAAAGAUGCCAAAUUUACUAUCCAGGCUGCAUCAUUUUGAAGACAGAGUCACCAGAUACAUAGAGUUAAAAUAGGACCCACUCUUCCCCAUACCCAGCUACUGAAAGACAAUACAGAAUAAAAUAGGUGAAAGUGUUUUGUGCUUCGAUGAAUUUACACCAAAGAAAGAUUUAAUCAUACUGAAAUUACAGCAAUUACAUAAAGAUGGGGAUAAUGUGGGAAUAUAUAUAUGUAUAUACAUAUAUAUAUUCCCACUUCUAUGCCCAUCCCUCUCUCUCUCUCUCUCUCUCUCUCUCUCUCUCUCUCUCUCUCUCUCUCUCUCUCUCUCUUUCUAUCUAUCUCUAUCUCUCUAUCUAUCUAUGACUUUAUAUCUACCUUCUCCCAUGGUCCCAGAAAUAGCCUUAGAGAUCAAUUAUGAGUUUCCUCUGAAAGUGUCUCCAUUCAUAUAUAGUUUACUGAGAGUUUGUUUCCAGCACCCACAUACUACAAUUCACAAUUGCUUGUAACUACAGUUUCAGGGAACUUGAAACUCUCUGGUCUCCACAAGCAUCUGUACUCACAUAGUACACAUAAAUCUAUGACGGUCCACAUACGUAUAAAAUAAAUAAAUCUUUAUAAAAAUUUGGGGAUUUAGAAGAAGUCUUUAGAUAUUUGGAAACACAUUUCCUUGGGUAAUAUAAGAACAGUUACUUCUAUGCACUCACUGAUAAGUGGAUAUUAGCCCAAAAGCUCCAAAUAACCAGGAUACAAUUCAUAGACCUCAUGAAGCUCAAUAAAAAGGAAGGCCAAAGUGUGGGUGCUUCAGUCCUUUUUAGAAGAAGAACCAAAUACACACAGGAGCAAAUAUGGAGAUAACGUGUAGAGCAGAGACUAAAGGAAAGGCCACCCAGAGAAGGUUCCAUCAGAGGAUUCAACCCAUAUACAGUUACCAAAGCCAGAUACUACUGUGGAUGCCAAGAAGUGCUUGCUGAAAGGAGCCUGAUAAGCUGUCUCCUGAGAGGCCCUGCCAAAGCCUUACAAAUACAGAGGCAGAUGUUAGCACCCAACCAUUGGAUUUAAUACAGGAUCCCUAACAGAGGAGUUAGAGAAGGGACUGAAGAAGUUGAAGGGGUUUGCAACCCCAUAGGAAGAACAACAAUAUCAACCAACCAGACCCCCCAGAACUCCCAGAAACUAAGCCAUCAAUG
Molecule: long non-coding RNA, 1953 nt
Filed under: Mus musculus (house mouse)
Lineage: Eukaryota; Metazoa; Chordata; Mammalia; Rodentia; Muridae
Description: long non-coding RNA chr14:115794704-115796657
Source: RNAcentral